AGCGAACGCUGGCGGCAGGCCUAACACAUGCAAGUCGAACGGAUCCUUCGGGAUUAGUGGCGGACGGGUGAGUAACACGUGGGAACGUGCCUUUUGGUUCGGAACAACUCAGGGAAACUUGAGCUAAUACCGGAUGUGCCCUUCGGGGAAGGAUUAUCGCCAUUAGAGCGGCCCGCGUCUGAUUAGCUAGUUGGUGAGGUAAAGGCUCACCAAGGCUACGAUCAGUAGCUGGUCUGAGAGGAUGAUCAGCCACAUUGGGACUGAGACACGGCCCAAACUCCUACGGGAGGCAGCAGUGGGGAAUCUUGCGCAAUGGGCGAAAGCCUGACGCAGCCAUGCCGCGUGAAUGAUGAAGGUCUUAGGAUUGUAAAAUUCUUUCAGCAGGGACGAUAAUGACGGUACCUGCAGAAGAAGCCCC
Molecule: ribosomal RNA, 418 nt
Filed under: uncultured bacterium
Lineage: Bacteria
Description: bacterial SSU rRNA
Rfam family: Bacterial small subunit ribosomal RNA
Source: RNAcentral